RNAcentral lists this ribosomal RNA (1518 nucleotides) under metagenome. RNAcentral describes it as "bacterial SSU rRNA". It matches the Rfam family "Bacterial small subunit ribosomal RNA". The record is from RNAcentral.
AGAGUUUGAUUCUGGCUCAGAACGAACGCUGGCGGCGUGGAUAAGACAUGCAAGUCGAACGGGACUUUUCUUUGUAGCAAUACAGAGAAAAGUCUAGUGGCGAACGGGUGCGUAACACGUGAGCAUUCUGCCGAGAAGUGGGGGAUAGCUCGCCGAAAGGCGAAUUAAUACCGCAUGUGGCCAAGGAAGAUAUCUCCCUGACGCCAAAGCCGGGGCAACCUGGCGCUUCUUGAUGGGCUCGCGGCCUAUCAGCUUGUUGGUGAGGUAACGGCUCACCAAGGCUAUGACGGGUAGCUGGUCUGAGAGGACGACCAGCCACACUGGAACUGAGACACGGUCCAGACACCUACGGGUGGCAGCAGUCGAGAAUUUUUCACAAUGGGGGAAACCCUGAUGGAGCGACGCCGCGUGGAGGAUGAAGGUUUUCGGAUUGUAAACUCCUGUCAUUAGAGAACAAGGUACACGGUUUAACUGGCCGUGUGUUGAUAGUAUCUGAAGAGGAAGAGACGGCUAACUCUGUGCCAGCAGCCGCGGUAAUACAGAGGUCUCAAGCGUUGUUCGGAUUCAUUGGGCGUAAAGGGUGCGUAGGUGGCGAUGUAAGUCGGGUGUGGAAUCUCCAAGCUCAACUUGGAAACUGCACUCGAUACUGCGUUGCUAGAGGACUGUAGAGGGCAUUGGAAUUCACGGUGUAGCAGUGAUAUCCGUAGAUAUCGUGAGGAAGACCAGUGGCGAAGGCGAAUGCCUGGGCAGUUCCUGACACUGAGGCACGAAGGCCAGGGGAGCGAACGGGAUUAGAUACCCCGGUAGUCCUGGCAGUAAACGGUGCACGUUUGGUGUGGGAGGAUUCGACCCCUUCCGUGCCGGAGCUAACGCGUUAAACGUGCCGCCUGGGGAGUACGGUCGCAAGAUUAAAACUCAAAGAAAUUGACGGGGACCCGCACAAGCGGUGGAGUAUGUGGCUUAAUUCGAUCAACGCGAAGAACCUUACCUGGCCUUGACAUGCAUCUCUAAACCGGUGAAAGCCGGCGAGUGUAGCAAUACACAAUUUGCACAGGUGCUGCAUGGCUGUCGUCAGCUCGUGUCGUGAGAUGUUGGGUUAAGUCCCGCAACGAGCGCAACCCCUGUGAACUGUUGCCAUGGAGACGUGAGUCUCCGGCACUCUGUUCAGACUGCCCUGUUCAACGGGGAGGAAGGUGGGGACGACGUCAAGUCAGUAUGGCCCUUACGGCCAGGGCUGCACACGUACUACAAUGCCCGAAACAGAAGGAUCCGAGACCGCGAGGUGGAGGAAAUCACGAAAUUCGGGCCCAGUUCGGAUUGGAGGCUGCAACUCGCCUCCAUAAAGCCGGAAUCGCUAGUAAUGGCGCAUCAGCUACGGCGCCGUGAAUACGUUCCCGGGUCUUGUACACACCGCCCGUCACAUCAUGGGAGUCGUUUGUACCCGAAGUGCGCGCGCCAACCGCAAGGAGGCAGCGCCCUAAGGUAUGAGCGGUAACUGGGAUGAAGUCGAACAAGGUA